GACGAACCGUGCGAACGUUGUUCGGAUUCACUGGGCUUAAAGGGCGCGUAGGCGGGUGAUCAAGUCCGGGGUGAAAUCCUCCAGCUCAACUGGAGAAUAGCCUUGGAUACUGGUCGCCUCGAGGGAGGUAGGGGCGGGCGGAACUUCCGGUGGAGCGGUGAAAUGCGUAGAUAUCGGAAGGAACGCCGGUGGCGAAAGCGGCCCGCUGGACCUCUUCUGACGCUGAGGCGCGAAAGCCAGGGGAGCAAACGGG
RNAcentral lists this ribosomal RNA (253 nucleotides) under uncultured bacterium. Its description in RNAcentral is "partial 16S ribosomal RNA". It matches the Rfam family "Bacterial small subunit ribosomal RNA", at positions 524 to 776 of the family's 1533-position model. RNAcentral also lists the same sequence under 1 other name. The record is from RNAcentral.